GCCAAUGCACUUAACCACUAUAUUAUACUACCGGAGAAAAUGAAAAUUAAAGUAUUGUUAGGCCAAAUACUUCAAAAUGUUUACCAUCCCCAACUAAAAAUACUAAUAAUAAGGCUAUACUAAAUGGUCAGAAUAAAAGUCUGUAAGUGUGCACUACCAAGUACCAUCAGGGUCCACCCUUUCCUUCACCAUCACAUUGAGGCCAUUACUAAUAUGGUUUUCUCAUUAUUUUGACACAAAAAAAGAGGCAACUUUAAUGUGUGAACAAAAGCAUAUAGCCAAGUGAUGGGUAAACAGUAUCUGAAUUAAGUUUUCACACUAAUGAGGAGGAAACUUAGUCACAUAAGACAUAAUAAUACCCAAAG
Molecule: non-coding RNA, 365 nt
Organism: Ceratotherium simum simum (southern white rhinoceros)
Lineage: Eukaryota; Metazoa; Chordata; Mammalia; Perissodactyla; Rhinocerotidae
Source: RefSeq, a predicted model, not a curated record